This 253-nucleotide ribosomal RNA is filed under the name uncultured bacterium. RNAcentral's name for it is "partial 16S ribosomal RNA". It matches the Rfam family "Bacterial small subunit ribosomal RNA", at positions 524 to 776 of the family's 1533-position model. The record is from RNAcentral.
UACGAGGGGGGCGAGCGUUGUUCGGAAUUAUUGGGCGUAAAGGGUGCGUAGGCGGUUCCGCAAGUCCUGUGUGAAAUCUUCGGGCUCAACUCGAAGUCUGCACGGGAAACUGCCGGGCUUGAGUAUGGGAGAGGUGAGUGGAAUUCCUGGUGUAGCGGUGAAAUGCGUAGAUAUCAGGAGGAACACCUGUGGCGAAAGCGGCUCACUGGACCAUAACUGACGCUGAGGCACGAAAGCGUGGGGAUCAAACAGG